CCUGGCACCAGGAUGGGUUCUGGGGAGACAGUGGUGACUCCUCUGGACGGGACUCCUGUUCUGAUGGAGCUUUUGAAGCGAGGGAGGCAGACUUUAACCAAAGUGCUCCGUCCUCCCUGAGAACUGCAGGAGCACGUGGUGGCCCGCCAAGCAGCUUCCCAGAGCCUGAGGGCCAGGCUCCAAUGCCAGGCGUGCAGGUGUGGCUGCGGGCACAAGUGCCCACCAGGAGUCCACCUGCACAAAGAGGUGGAACCCAGAAUAACCAGGUGGUGUCUGGUGGCUUUAGCUUCAGUGAAACACUAACUGUGUCUGGAAGCAAACCCUCUCUGGGGCCAGGGCCUCUGGACCUCCAGAGCCUAAAGAGCAGAGGGAAGCACUCAUUCCCCAGGAGGGCCCCCG
This 399-nucleotide long non-coding RNA is filed under the name Equus asinus (donkey). RNAcentral describes it as "lncRNA (ENSEASG00005025775.1, ENSEASG00020020237.1)". Lineage: Eukaryota; Metazoa; Chordata; Mammalia; Perissodactyla; Equidae. The record is from RNAcentral.